This 361-nucleotide long non-coding RNA is filed under the name Equus asinus (donkey). RNAcentral's name for it is "lncRNA (ENSEASG00005023551.1)". Lineage: Eukaryota; Metazoa; Chordata; Mammalia; Perissodactyla; Equidae. The record is from RNAcentral.
GAGCGCGGCCUCCUGGGGCUGAGACCGGCUGCCCGCGUGGCCCUCCAGGGCGCCUCCGCCCCGUAACUAUCAGAGCAGGUAGCCAGCACCCACCCGGCCUGCAUCCCAAAGAUGAUCAUCACCACCUAAGCGAGGGAGCCUGUAAGUGAAGACCAGGGGCCACAGAGGCAAUGAAAACUUAUUCUAAGUGUGACACUUUCAACUCCCCUUACUCUACAACAAGCUCCAUCUUUGACCAGCACUAAGAGGAGGAAAAUGAUACCUCAAUAAGACAAGAAGACAAAAGAACAGGUUCCCUGCCUUACUCUGGUGAUCUCGCGGUCUAAGCAUGCAUCCUCCUCUUGGCAUUAUGUGUGACAGU